GAAGUACUUUCUCUGUUCUAAAUUACUCGUCGCUGAAAUGAAUGUAUCUAGAACUAAAAUACAUCUAGAUACAUCAUUCUUGCGACAAGUAAUUCAGAACGGAGGAAGUAGUAC
Molecule: non-coding RNA, 114 nt
Organism: Triticum aestivum (bread wheat)
Lineage: Eukaryota; Viridiplantae; Streptophyta; Magnoliopsida; Poales; Poaceae
Source: Rfam